This 832-nucleotide ribosomal RNA is filed under the name Ara ambiguus (great green macaw). RNAcentral's name for it is "partial 16S ribosomal RNA". The stretch from base 354 to 607 matches the Rfam family "Archaeal large subunit ribosomal RNA", at positions 1787 to 2143 of the family's 2987-position model. The record is from RNAcentral. Lineage: Eukaryota; Metazoa; Chordata; Aves; Psittaciformes; Psittacidae.
CCCAACCCAAAUGUGACAGUUAAGGGUUAUUUAAAGGGGGUACAGCCCCUUUAAAAAAGGACACAACCUCCACCAGCGGAUAAUCCCCAUACGCCCAACCCCGUGGGCUUUAAAGCAGCCACCCCCAAAGAUUGCGUCAAAGCUCUAUCAACUAAAAACCCCAAAACCAAUGCGACUCCCUACACCCACAGCAGGCCAACCUAUAACAAUAGAUGAAUCAAUGCUAGAACGAGUAACCAGGACACUAUGUCCCCCCAAGCGCCAGCCUGCACAUCAUUAACAGCAAAACCCCAAUAAUAACCACCCACCAUUGAACCCACCCUGUCAACCCAACUCAGGGGCGCACACUGGAGUGAUCAAAAUCUACAAAAGGAACUCGGCAAACCUAAGACCCGACUGUUUACCAAAAACAUAGCCUUCAGCCAAACAAGUAUUGAAGGUGAUGCCUGCCCAGUGACACCACGUUUAACGGCCGCGGUAUCCUAACCGUGCAAAGGUAGCGCAAUCAAUUGUCCCAUAAAUCGAGACCUGUAUGAAUGGCUAAACGAGGUCUUAACUGUCUCCUGUAGACAAUCGGUGAAACUGAUCUCUCUGUGCAAAAGCAGAGAUAAAAACAUAAGACGAGAAGACCCUGUGGAACUUCAAAAUCAAUAGCCACCCCACCCAACUUACCAGCCCACAGGCCCACCACCUAAGACACUGGCUAACAUUUUUAGGUUGGGGCGACCUUGGAGAAAAACAGACCCUCCAAAAACAGGGCCAAACCCCCUAACUAAGAGCAACCUCUCAACGUGCCAACAGCACCCAGACCCAGUAGACCUGAUCAAUGGAC